UAGGGAAUCUUCGGCAAUGGGGGGAACCCUGACCGAGCAACGCCGCGUGAGUGAAGAAGGUUUUCGGAUCGUAAAGCUCUGUUGUUAAGGAAGAACGAGUGUGAGAAUGGAAAGUUCAUACUGUGAAGGUACUUAACCAGAAAGGGACGGCUAACUACGUGCAAGCAGCCGCGGUAAUACGUAGGUCCCGAGCGUUGUCCGGAUUUAUUGGGCGUAAAGCGAGCGCAGGCGGUCAAUUAAGUCUGAUGUGAAAGCCCCCGGCUCAACCGGGGAGGGUCAUUGGAAACUGGUUGACUUGAGUGCAGAAGAGGAGAGUGGAAUUCCAUGUGUAGCGGUGAAAUGCGUAGAUAUAUGGAGGAACACCAGUGGCGAAGGCGACUCUCUGGUCUGUAACUGACGCUGAGGCUCGAAAGCGUGGGUAGCAAACAGG
RNAcentral lists this ribosomal RNA (430 nucleotides) under Bacteroidota bacterium. RNAcentral describes it as "Bacteroidetes bacterium partial 16S ribosomal RNA". It matches the Rfam family "Bacterial small subunit ribosomal RNA", at positions 355 to 776 of the family's 1533-position model. The record is from RNAcentral. Lineage: Bacteria; Pseudomonadati; Bacteroidota.